AGUGAACGCUGGCGGUAGGCCUAACACAUGCAAGUCGAACGGCAGCACAGUAAGAGCUUGCUCUUACGGGUGGCGAGUGGCGGACGGGUGAGGAAUACAUCGGAAUCUACUUUUUCGUGGGGGAUAACGUAAGGAAACUUACGCUAAUACCGCAUACGACCUACGGGUGAAAGCAGGGGAUCUUCGGACCUUGCGCGAUUGAAUGAGCCGAUGUCGGAUUAGCUAGUUGGCGGGGUAAAGGCCCACCAAGGCGACGAUCCGUAGCUGGUCUGAGAGGAUGAUCAGCCACACUGGAACUGAGACACGGUCCAGACUCCUACGGGAGGCAGCAGUGGGGAAUAUUGGACAAUGGGCGCAAGCCUGAUCCAGCCAUACCGCGUGGGUGAAGAAGGCCUUCGGGUUGUAAAGCCCUCUUGUUGGGAAAGAAAAGCAGCAGGUUAAUACCCCGCUGUUCUGACGGUACCCAAAGAAUAAGCACCGGCUAACUUCGUG
RNAcentral lists this ribosomal RNA (492 nucleotides) under uncultured bacterium. RNAcentral describes it as "partial 16S ribosomal RNA". It matches the Rfam family "Bacterial small subunit ribosomal RNA", at positions 29 to 507 of the family's 1533-position model. The record is from RNAcentral.